CCAGGACUCACUCACUCGCAUCAAUUAAAAUAAGGUGCAACCUCAAUAAUAAACGAAAUAACGGUUCCCAAGUUUGGAACAUACAAAUACAUUCAUUUCUAUCCCAAUCAUCCAUACAGUCCCAAAUACAUCAAAAAAGUUAAGUUCUCCGUACAUUCAACCCUAAUCGAGUGGCUAGUGCAAGUACAAUUACAAAAUUCAAAACAACUAGACUACGCUAGUCUGUACACGUCUCACGCCUCGCUCGUACCCCUGUAAGGAAAAUAAAUGGCGUGGAAUGAGCUAAAAGCCCAAUAAGGUUCCAAAUAGCAAGUUAACCCUUAUUUAAAAGUGCAAGUAUCACGUAGUAAAGUAAUGAGUAUGAAUAGUUCAUAAAAGUGAGUAAUAAUACUUCAAGUAGCAAAUCUCAAAGUGAGCGAGUGUAAAAGUUUUUCAAAAGAAACAAUAAUCCAAUAAACAAUAAUCGCUCCAAAAUAUAAGGAUACGGAUGGCUCUCAGGAGCCAAAUUCCUAUUGCAUCACCAGAGCUUGAUCAAAUAUUAGUUGACACUCCGUCAACCUUCAAGUAAGUAACCAAUCCAGUAGAGCACCACUUAUACUACUCUCCGUCCACCAUUCACACCCCCUAUUGGGUCCAAAAUCCUCAAUAAAUAUUGGUGGUAAUACUCGAGUAUACCGAUUAAUCGAGAAGAUAUCACUCCAUUCGAAAAAAUGAAAGACCCAUGGUUCGUUACCCAAUCGACCAAGCCCUUGCCGAUUCGACUCGAUUAACUAGCCAAUGGGGUUUGGGGUCCCAAAAAAAUCGACGAGGUAACACUCCAAUCGACUGAAUUAAAAUAAAAGUAUGGAGACGAGAAUGAGAGGCACCUCCCACUCGGAUAGAGUGUGAUACAUGCUGCCGCUCCACACUUACAAAUCAAGUACAAGUAUAUCAAGUUAAUUGCAACAAUAAACAAGUAGAUAUCAUAUUAGGGCAAGUGCGAUAAAGUACACCCUUACCCGAUCAAUAAAUUUCGUAUCAUGUAUUUUCAUGGAUCAAGUAUUAAAACAAGUGUCAAGUUCAAACAGAUAUUUGGAAGCACUCACCAAAAGUCUAGUGCCUCUCAAAAACACGUUCAGGUCCAACUCCUUGGUUGGAGUCCAAAUCUGGGAUAAAAUAUCAUUUACGAAUGUAAAAUUUUCUAGAUUUCGAAACAUAGGAGUUUCGCUUCAAGAAAAUCAAGUAAAUGCAACUCGUUUGAGUAGUAUUCAAGAUACUUAUCAAAUUCUAAGAAAUUCAUGCUCGCUCUUAAGAUUUUGAAACUUGAAAACAAUUAUACUUUGAAAUACCAUUUGGGUCGACGAAAUGGAGAAAAGUAUAUCUAUUAGUCAUAAAUUUCAUUUUUUCAAGGGUACAAGGUCGGCCAAGUUCUAACUUAUAUACCUCGAUAAAAGAAUGUGCAAAUAUCCAAGAUGGUUCAAGUGGUAUUCACUCUCAAACCUUACUCAAGUUGCAAGCAUAUCUACCUAGUUCUCGAGCGUAAAUUUGGGCAGCACGCCCUUUGUAUUUACCUAUUUUCCAGCCAUUUAUGGCUUCAUUCUUUUCUUCAAUCAAACCCAAAGUUACACAAAACAUAAUUUCAUUUCAUUAGCCGUCCAAUAGGCUCAAGGUCAUACAAGUACAAAAUCAAGCUAAGAACAUGUGCGGAAAUGAAGUUUAAGUUAGGAAAUAAAAGGCAGAUUUGACGUUGUUUUGCGUAACGGACACAACCAGAGCUACGCUUAUCAGAUUGGGGUGAAAUUUAUACCGUUUCGAAGCUAAGACAGAGGGCUAUAACUUUGAUGAAGAUUACUUAGUCCAGUUCUCAUCCUAACUAGGUCAAAGUUAUCAAAACAACCCCAGAUUUUCCAGUUCGAAACUCACUGUGAAAUUCAACUAGCAGUCCUGAUUCAUUCAAUCAUAUCUCAGCACACACAACUCCGAUUCAGGUAAUUCCAAAGUCAUUUGAAAGCUAAGAUACAAGGAUAUAAUUAUUAAGAAGACAUUGACAACCAAAUCAGUAGUAUUCCCAGUCAAACUAACCAAUUACAGAAGCUGAUUAUCAGUUUUGGACAGAAACAGGGCAGCAGGGGUAUUUUGGUCUUUUCAUAGGAUACGGAGGUCGGAUUGGGCUGAAAUUUUGUAGAAAAUCAUAAAAUAUCAUUCUCUACAACUUUCAUGUUUUGGGCUAAAGUUGGUUCGGUCUCUAACAUACUCAAACAGAAACGGGCAGAAUUGAACCAUAAGAAACCGAUAUUCUGGAAAUUUGCUCCAUUCAAGGUAUAACUCUCAUUUUAAACUUAAAACCAGCACUACAACCUCAUAUACAAGCUUAUAUACAUCAUAUACCAUCCAUACAGCAAGUAUAAGAAGAAAAUCAUUCAAACCCAAAGUUGAAAUUUUACACUACAAAGCUGGAAUUGACCAAAUCUACUACUAAAUCAUGAGAUCUACCCAACAAACCAUAACUUUCACUUGUAAACCAUUAAGUAGUACAACCAUGAACUAAUACCUUCCUUACCUAGGAUUGGAGAAGCACAACAGCCUUUAGGAAACUUGAACCACCAGAACUCUCCACUCCAAGAUGGCAAUCCACCUUCCUAAGCAACUUCCAUGGAUUAUUUGGUGAAUCUAUCGGUUAGUUUGCAAGAUUGAGUAAGAAAUCAAGAUGGAAUGAAGUGUUUCUUUCUCUCCUUUUCUCUCCUCACUCUCACGGCCAAAUGUGCAGAAAUGAAGAAGAAAUGCAGUCCAAGGAAAGAUAAGAAAG
Molecule: long non-coding RNA, 2785 nt
Filed under: Coffea arabica (coffee)
Lineage: Eukaryota; Viridiplantae; Streptophyta; Magnoliopsida; Gentianales; Rubiaceae
Description: long non-coding RNA (CARA_LNC005170)
Source: RNAcentral